Bombus terrestris (buff-tailed bumblebee) is the source of this 915-nucleotide long non-coding RNA. RefSeq lists it as uncharacterized. Lineage: Eukaryota; Metazoa; Arthropoda; Insecta; Hymenoptera; Apidae. The transcript has 3 exons. The record is from RefSeq and is a predicted model, not a curated record.
ACCGAGGACUAUUUUAAAACGCCGAUUUAGCCCAGUCAAAAUCAACAUCACGAUUGCCGCCUCCGCCGCCCCCAUCGUGUCUACCUGCAUUCUUUGUAAUACAAAUAAAGCUGCCUGUGCUCCGACUACCGCGAAACGAAAUCCGCUGCGUUGUUUUCCCGUCUGCGGUUCGCGCAAACAAACCCACUAGUGCUCGUCCUCGCUUCGACUCGGCUGAUGACGAUACGCGUGUAUAAUUUGGUUUGCACAAAGCGCGCGUGCAUAAUUUAUAGCCAAACGGUGUGCAUAUUAGCUGUUUCGUAAAGUGAUCCGAAAAAAAAAUUGGCAUUUGGACAAUGUGUGGUUUUAAACACAAGGAGAUUGGAAUAUAGGUAGUGCUGUCUGAAUCAAUAAAGCAGCCGCGAAUCGAGCAGUUCGCCUUAUGCAGAUUGUUUCGUCAGCAAGGAGGCCUCUGUUCAUCGACCACGGAUCGAUUAUCGAUUAUCAAGCAGUGGAUUAUUUACCGAGCAAGGAUGGAAGGACAGAAAGGAAGAAAAGCAGGAAAUGGAGAGGGAGGAAGAAAGGGCGAAAAAGACAAAUGGAAAGGAAAGCACGGAAGAAAGGGAACGCGAUGAAAGUGGAGAAGGAAAAGGAAGAAGGGAAGUAACGGAAGGAAAGAAACAUGGAACGGAACAGAAGGAACGGGGCGAAAGGAAGGAGUUAAGAAGCUAGGGGAAUCCAUUAGGAAUUUUAUUCGCGUUUGGCGAUAUAAAGCAAGAACGGUAAAAUGAUCUAUACAACUCGAUUUUGAAAAGAACGAACCUAGCUUACGAUUAUUUUAUUUCUCAAGUGUAGAAUUAACUUCUCUAAUCAUUAGUUACGCAAAUAUUCGAGUGAUUUAAGUUGCAACGAUUUGAAUGAACAGCUAUUACAUGA